This 465-nucleotide ribosomal RNA is filed under the name uncultured bacterium. Its description in RNAcentral is "bacterial SSU rRNA". It matches the Rfam family "Bacterial small subunit ribosomal RNA", at positions 32 to 507 of the family's 1533-position model. The record is from RNAcentral.
AAUCAACGCUGGCGGCGUGCCUCAGACAUGCAAGUCGAACGAUUAAAGCUCUCUUCGGAGAGUGCAUAGAGUGGCGCACGGGUGAGUAACACGUAAGUAAUCUACCUUCGAGUGGGGAAUAACGUCCGGAAACGGACGCUAAUACCGCAUAAUGCAGCGGCAUCGUAAGAUGACAGUUGUUAAAGAUUUAUCGCUUGAAGAGGAGCUUGCGGCAGAUUAGCUAGUUGGUAAGGUAAUGGCUUACCAAGGCUACGAUCUGUAACCGGUCUUAGAGGACGGUCGGUCACACUGACACUGAAUAACGGGUCAGACUCCUACGGGAGGCAGCAGUCGGGAAUUUUGGGCAAUGGGCGAAAGCCUGACCCAGCAACGCCGCGUGAAGGAUGAAGUAUUUCGGUAUGUAAACUUCGAAAGAAUAGGAAGAAUUAAUGACGGUACUAUUUAUAAGGUCCGGCUAACUACGUG